UGGGGAAUAUUGCACAAUGGGGGAAACCCUGAUGCAGCGACGCCGCGUGAGCGAAGAAGGUUUUCGAAUCGUAAAGCUCUGUCCUAUGGGAAGAUAAUGACGGUACCAUAGGAGGAAGCCCCGGCUAACUACGUGCCAGCAGCCGCGGUAAUACGUAGGGGGCAAGCGUUGUCCGGAAUCACUGGGCGUAAAGGGUUCGCAGGCGGAAAUGCAAGUCAGUUGUGAAAGGCAGAGGCUCAACCUCUGUAAGCAAUUGAAACUGUAUUUCUUGAGAUGUGGAGAGGCAAGUGGAAUUCCUAGUGUAGCGGUGAAAUGCGUAGAUAGUAGGAAGAAUACCGGUGGCGAAGGCGACUUGCUGGACACAAACUGACGCUGAGGAACGAAAGCGUGGGUAGCAAACAGG
This 403-nucleotide ribosomal RNA is filed under the name Fusobacteriota bacterium. RNAcentral's name for it is "Fusobacteria bacterium partial 16S ribosomal RNA". It matches the Rfam family "Bacterial small subunit ribosomal RNA", at positions 355 to 776 of the family's 1533-position model. Lineage: Bacteria; Fusobacteriati; Fusobacteriota. The record is from RNAcentral.